This 494-nucleotide unclassified non-coding RNA is filed under the name Hevea brasiliensis (rubber tree). The record is from RNAcentral. Lineage: Eukaryota; Viridiplantae; Streptophyta; Magnoliopsida; Malpighiales; Euphorbiaceae.
UAUGGGACCCAAACACAUCAUUAGUUUUGAAAGUUUGCAAUCUUAAGUGAUUUUCUCUAGGACUUGAAGUGCUUCUUUCAUGGAAGGUCUCUUUUCUGGUGCAAAACAAGCACAACUAAACCCUAACUUCAAGCAUGCCAACAUGACAUCCUCCCUAGCCUCCACGUCAGCUCGAAUCGCCAUGUCAACCAACCUCAAAACCCGAUUCUUAUCCUCCGCCAUUAAACCGGUGUUCCAUUGGCUCACCUCUCGAUCUGAAAGCACUCUACCAGUGAGAAGUUCAAGUAAAAUAACACCAAAGGAGUAAACAUCCCAUUUAGGAUUUGAUUUUAUAUUCUUUAAGGACUCAGGAGCUUGAUAUGGCGACGUGCUGCUAGUUGUGGAGGAGCUAGGGGUUGCAUAGGGGCUUGUAGUGAUAGAGAGGUCAUGUGAGGUGGAGAUAGAUCUUUGGCUACCAAAAUUGCGACCAGAGUUGCUAGAUUUAUAGCUAUUGC